AUAUGGGGACAAUAUGGGAACCUAUGGGGAUAAUAUGGGGACUAAUGGGGACAGUGGGGAGACCUAUGGGGACAAUAUGGGGACCUGUGGGGGCAAUAAGGGGACGUAUGGGGACAGCACCUCAACCUAUGAGGGUGGCACCGAGCCCUAUGGGGCAACAGUGUGACCUAUGGGGACAAUGGAGCCCUAUGGGGACAAUGGGACCCUAUGGGGACAAUGGAGCCCUAUGGGGACAACAGAACCUUAUGGGGACUCUGGUGAACUCUAUGGGGACAUUGAUGUCCUCUAUGAGGACAGUGGAGCCCUAUGGGGACGUUGAUGAGUCCUAUGGGAUCAAUGAAGCCCUAUGGGGACAAUGGAGCCCUAUGGGGACCUCUGUGGGGGCAAUGGGGCCCUAUGGGGACACUGAUGAGCCCUAUAGGGACAUUGAUGUGCCCUAUGGGGGCAAUGGAGCUCUAUGGGGACAAUGGAACCCUAUGGGGACAUUGAUGAACUCUAUGGGGACACUGGUGUUCUCUAUGGGGACAAUGAUGACCUCUAUGGGGACAAUGGAGCCCUAUGGGGACAGUGGAGCCCUAUGGGGAGCUCUGUGGGGACAAUGGGGCCCUAUGGGGAUGCUGAUGAGCCCUAUAGGGACAUUGAUAAGCCCUAUGGGGAGUUCUAUGGGGACAACGGAGCCCUAUGGGGACAUUGAUGAGCACUGUGGGGUCAAUGAAGACCUAUGGGGACAAUGGGACCCUAUGGGGACUGUGGAGCCCUAUGGGGUAGGGGUGGAGUGUGUGUGUGUGUGGGGGGCUCAAUAAAGUGAAUGGAAACCGA
Molecule: non-coding RNA, 819 nt
Organism: Coturnix japonica (Japanese quail)
Lineage: Eukaryota; Metazoa; Chordata; Aves; Galliformes; Phasianidae
Source: RefSeq, a predicted model, not a curated record